GUGCCAGCAGCCGCGGUAAUACGGAAGGUCCGGGCGUUAUCCGGAUUUAUUGGGUUUAAAGGGAGCGCAGGCUGCCUGUUAAGCGUGACGUGAAAUGCCGCGGCUCAACCGUGGAAGUGCGUCGCGAACUGGCGGGCUUGAGUGUGCACGAGGAAGGCGGAAUUCGUGGUGUAGCGGUGAAAUGCUUAGAUAUCACGAAGAACUCCGAUUGCGAAGGCAGCCUUCCAGGGCACUACUGACGCUAAGGCUCGAAGGUGCGGGUAUCGAACAGGAUUAGAUACCCUGGUAGUCCGCACGGUAAACGAUGGAUGCCCGCUGUUGGCGAUAUACAGUCAGCGGCCAAGCGAAAGCGUUAAGCAUCCCACCUGGGGAGUACGCCGGCAACGUGAAAACUCAAAGGAAUUGACGGGGGCCCGCACAAGCGGAGGAACAUGUGGUUUAAUUCGAUGAUACGCGAGGAACCUUACCCGGGCUUGAACUGCAGCAGACGGAUCUAGAGAUAGUGACUCCCUUCGGGGCUGCUGUGGAGGUGCUGCAUGGUUGUCGUCAGCUCGUGCCGUGAGGUGUCGGCUUAAGUGCCAUAACGAGCGCAACCCUUUUCAUUAGUUGCCAUCAGGUCAUGCUGGGCACUCUGGUGAUACUGCCACCGUAAGGUGUGAGGAAGGUGGGAUGACGUCAAAUCAGCACGGCCCUUACGUCCGGGGCUACACACGUGUUACAAUGGGUGGUACAGAGAGUCGGGUGUAUGCAAAUACAUUCUAAUCAAGAAAGCCAUCCUCAGUUCGGAUUGGGUCUGCAACCCGACCCCAUGAAGCUGGAUUCGCUAGUAAUCGCGCAUCAGCCAUGGCGCGGUGAAUACGUUCCCGGGCCUUGUACACACCGCCCGU
This 887-nucleotide ribosomal RNA is filed under the name uncultured rumen bacterium. RNAcentral describes it as "bacterial SSU rRNA". It matches the Rfam family "Bacterial small subunit ribosomal RNA", at positions 505 to 1397 of the family's 1533-position model. The record is from RNAcentral.